AUCAAGAAAUAAAUUUGACUUUUAUUUCUUUUAUGGUAAUUAUAAUUAUAGCAUAUUUAAAAUUUUCUAUUUAUAAGCAUAUUUACAAUUAGUUUUUAAUUGUCAGAUUAUUAAUUUUAUUUUUUCAUUUAUUUAGUCUUUUAAUGUGAUAAAAGUCAAUUUAUUAAGAUUAAUUUGUUUUCUUAUUUUUUAAAUAGUAAUUAUAUUUUCUUUAUUACGACGUUUUUCCUAUGUUUGUUUUUGACUUUCUUUCAAAUUAAAGAGUAUAAUUACUUUUUUUGUAAUUUAAUAGCUUUUAUAAUAUAUUAGGUUUUACUAGGCUAAUUUUACUUAAUAGGUUUUUGACUUUUUAUCUUUAAUGAUAUAUUUAAUUUAAGAAUUUGAUUGCAUUUUAAUGGUUGAGCCAAUUUUAUUUCGUGAUUGAUUUCAAUUUUAUUUUCAAUAUCUUAAUUGAUCUUGAUUAUUAUAUAUGAUACUUUUUUAGGAAAAGAUUUACGAAACUCAUUAAAUUACAUUAAAUGAAAUUUAUUUUUACAUUAUCACUUUAUUUUUUCUUACCAUUUAUAAUUCAGUGUAAUAUUUUAGAUCUUCUUACUAGUAUUUUUUACUUAAAAUGUAUGAUUUUUUUUUUCAUAAAGCUAUUAAUGAUUUAAUUUUAUUGUUUUAUUGUAUUUAAGGUUAGUGGAUUUUUUGGUCAUUAAUUUAUUAAUUAUAUUUUCUUCUUUUAAGUCCUUAUUUAUGAUCUUUAUUAUUUUUAUUAUUUACUUUCUCAUUUCUUUUAUUUACAUUACAGUAAGUUUUUUUAUCAUUAAUUUAUUAAUUAUUUUUAUCUGUUAAGUCUUUAAUUACAAUUUAUGUAAUUGCUUGAGUGGUGGCUUUUUUGUAUUGACCUUUAAAUAUGAUUUAGAUUAUUUAUGAUUUUUUAUUAUCUUAGUUACAUGAUUUUCUUUCCUUUUAUUUACAUUACAGAAAGUUCUCUAUUGUAGUUGCUCUUUUUAUGAGUCAAAUUGUCUUUAUUAAUUUAAAGGUAUUGGAAUUAUCAAUAUUGUUAUUUUAAUUAUGACUAAUAUGGUUUUUUAGUUUUUAUGGCACGUGUUUUUUGGUUUUUGUAAGGCAAUAUAUCUAGUUUUGUAAAUGGUUUGUUUUUAUUGAUUUUGUAAGGCCAAUGUGCCUAGUUUUUUUGUAUGGCCAAUGUGGCUAGUUUUCUUUGUACGGCCAAUGUGGUUAGUUUUGGUUUUGUAAGGCCAGUAUGGCUAUUUUAGUUUUGUAAGGCUAGUAUGGCUAGUUUUUGGUUUUGUAAGGCCAGUAUGGCUAGUUUUAAUUUUGUAAGUGUAAUCACCGUCAGGAAUGGAGAUGAAAAUAGAUAAGUAUCUACGUCAGAGAAUUCUAUGUGACUAUUUAUAUAAAAUUUCAUAUUUUAUUUUAUUUUAUUUAUAAGGGAAAUUUCAUUUUUUUAUUAAAUAUUUAUUAUGUAUUAAUUAAUUUCUCUUUAU
Long non-coding RNA from Cannabis sativa, 1493 nucleotides. RefSeq lists it as uncharacterized. Lineage: Eukaryota; Viridiplantae; Streptophyta; Magnoliopsida; Rosales; Cannabaceae. The transcript is spliced from 2 exons. The record is from RefSeq and is a predicted model, not a curated record.